Molecule: ribosomal RNA, 854 nt
Filed under: Lentistoma aquaticum
Lineage: Eukaryota; Fungi; Ascomycota; Dothideomycetes; Pleosporales; Lophiostomataceae
Description: partial large subunit ribosomal RNA
Rfam family: Eukaryotic large subunit ribosomal RNA
Source: RNAcentral
GGGAUUGCCCUAGUAACGGCGAGUGAAGCGGCAACAGCUCAAAUUUGAAAUCUGGCCUUCGGGUCCGAGUUGUAAUUUGCAGAGGGCGCUUUGGCAUCGGCUGUGGUCUAAGUUCCUUGGAACAGGACGUCGCAGAGGGUGAGAAUCCCGUAUGUGGCCGCCAGCCUUUACCGUGUAAAGCCCCUUCGAAGAGUCGAGUUGUUUGGGAAUGCAGCUCUAAUUGGGAGGUAAAUUUCUUCUAAAGCUAAAUAUCUGCCAGAGACCGAUAGCGCACAAGUAGAGUGAUCGAAAGAUGAAAAGCACUUUGGAAAGAGAGUCAAAAAGCACGUGAAAUUGUUGAAAGGGAAGCGCUUGCAGUUAGACAUGCCUUUAGUUGCUCAGCCGGGCUUUGGCCCGGUGCACUCUUCUAUUGGCAGGCCAGCAUCAGUUUGGGCGGUCGGAUAAAGGCCUAUUAAACGUGACUCCCCUCGGGGAGAGCUUAUAGGGUAGGCGUCAUGCGAUCAGCCUGGACUGAGGUCCGCGCAUCUGCUAGGAUGCUGGCGUAAUAGUUGCAAGCGGCCCGUCUUGAAACACGGACCAAGGAGUCUAACAUCUAUGCGAGUGUUUGGGUGUCAAGCCCGGAUGCGUAAUGAAAGUGAAUGGAGGUGGGAUCCCUUCGGGGUGCACCAUCGACCGAUCCUGAUGUUUUCGGAUGGAUUUGAGUAAGAGCAUAGCUGUUGGGACCCGAAAGAUGGUGAACUAUGCCUGAAUAGGGUGAAGCCAGAGGAAACUCUGGUGGAGGCUCGCAGCGGUUCUGACGUGCAAAUCGAUCGUCAAAUUUGGGCAUAGGGGCGAAAGACUAAUCGAACUAUCUA